RNAcentral lists this ribosomal RNA (1197 nucleotides) under Klebsiella aerogenes. RNAcentral's name for it is "bacterial SSU rRNA". It matches the Rfam family "Bacterial small subunit ribosomal RNA", at positions 296 to 1505 of the family's 1533-position model. The record is from RNAcentral. Lineage: Bacteria; Pseudomonadati; Pseudomonadota; Gammaproteobacteria; Enterobacterales; Enterobacteriaceae.
AUGGAUUAUCACGCCCAUGAGAAUCUGGAACCGGUCGUCUCUACGAAGCAGCCAGUGGGAUAUUUGGCACAUAGGCGCCAGGCUGAUUGCAGCAUGCGCGUGUAUGAAAGAUGCUUCCGGUGUAAGUACUUCAGCGAGGAGGAAGCGUUAAGUAUUACCUUUAGCUGAUGACGUUACUCGCAGAAGAAGCACUGCUACUCCCGUGCAGCAGCCGCGGUAAUACGAAGGGUGCAAGCGUUAAUCGAAUUACUGGGCGUAAAGCGCACGCAGGCGGUCUGUCUAAGUCUGAUGUGAAAUCCCCUGGCUCAACCUGGAACUGCAUUCGAUACUGGCAGGCUAGAGUCUGUAGAGGGGGGUAGAAUUCAGGUGUAGCGGUGAAAUGCGUAGAGAUCUGGAGGAAUACCGGUGGCGAAGGCGGCCCCCUGGACAAAGACUGACGCUCAGGUGCGAAAGCGUGGGGAGCACAGGAUUAGAUAUCCUGGUAGUCCACGCCGUAAACGAUGUCGACUUGGAGGUUGUGCCCUUGAGGCGUGGCUUCCGGAGCUAACGCGUUAAGUCGACCGCCUGGGGAGUACGGCCGCAAGGUUAAAACUCAAAUGAAUUGACGGGGGCCCGCACAAGCGGUGGAGCAUGUGGUUUAAUUAAUGAUGCAACGCGAAGAACCUUACCUACUCUUGACAUCCAGAGAACUUAGCAGAGAUGCUUUGGUGCCUUCGGGAACUUUGAGACAGGUGCUGCAUGGCUGUCGUCAGCUCGUGUUGUGAAAUGUUGGGUUAAGUCCCGCAACGAGCGCAACCCUUAUCCUUUGUUGCCAGCGGUUAGGCCGGGAACUCAAAGGAGACUGCCAGUGAUAAACUGGAGGAAGGUGGGGCAUGACGUCAAGUCAUCAUGGCCCUUACGAGUAGGGCUACACACGUGCUACAAUGGCAUAUACAAAGAGAAGCGACCUCGCGAGAGCAAGCGGACCUAUAAAGUAUGUUGUAGUCCGGAUUGGAGUUUGCAACUCGACUCCAUGAAGUUGGAAUCGCUAGUAAUCGUAGAUCAGAAUGCUACGGUGAAUACGUUCCCGGGCCUUGUACACACCGCCCGUCACACCAUGGGAGUGGGUUGCAAAAGAAGUAGGUAGCUUAACCUUCGGGAGGGCGCUUACCACUUUGUGAUUCAUGAAUGGGGUGAAGUCGAACAAGUAACUUGACA